This 678-nucleotide long non-coding RNA is filed under the name Olea europaea subsp. europaea. Lineage: Eukaryota; Viridiplantae; Streptophyta; Magnoliopsida; Lamiales; Oleaceae. The record is from RNAcentral.
UUAACCAUUUACCUGCACCGCCAGGGGCAAUCCAUAGGUGCCGUACUUACGCAUUGCUCACUUUGGCUUCGAGUGCGAUCUGGUGAAGAUGUGUACGGUGUCCUCAAAACAUCUUCAGCCCCACGGAUAGUCGUUGAAAUGAUCAAUGUCGUCAACGAUUUCCAGAUGGAAGAGGUCGAUCGCAGUCUUCUUAUGGUGACACCGCACCACGCUCUUAAGAAUGUGGACCAGACCUAACUUCAGUCUGUCUAACAUCUUAUCACACCUCCUGAUUGUGUCCAACAGCUAUGUAAGAAGCACAGUUCCCUAUCUCUCGAAGUAAGCGUCAUGAAGUCUAUUUCUUCUCUGAAUCCCAUCACCAACUACUUCAUCGCCCGUAAUCUUUAAUCCCGUGAUCAUAGCAAACUCGCACAUCGAAAAACUGGCAACUUUACCCUCGAUUGCAAAGUGGAGGGCAUCGCCAUCGACUAGACUCAGCAAUCGACAUAGAAGUGCAUCAAUAAUCUAACCCGAGUACUGCAGAUCUUUCAACGGGUACAAGGGCCACAGGAAAGACUGGCACAACAUAUCAGCGUGUUGAUCAUCGAGUAGUUCUAACACAGCAGUGAAACUGUCAAAGCUACUAUUCCACGUAGUUUUGUCUGGCAUUUGUCUCAACUCUGCGUCAAGAUGAUAAUC